Molecule: ribosomal RNA, 468 nt
Filed under: uncultured bacterium
Lineage: Bacteria
Description: partial 16S ribosomal RNA
Rfam family: Bacterial small subunit ribosomal RNA
Source: RNAcentral
GACGAACGCUGGCGGCGUGCUUAACACAUGCAAGUCGAACGGAAAGGCCCUGCUUUUGUGGGGUGCUCGAGUGGCGAACGGGUGAGUAACACGUGAGUAACCUGCCCUUGACUUUGGGAUAACUUCAGGAAACUGUGGCUAAUACCGGAUAGGAGCUCCUGCUGCAUGGUGGGGGUUGGAAAGUUUCGGCGGGUGGGGAUGGACUCGCGGCUUAUCAGCUUGUUGGUGGGGUAGUGGCUUACCAAGGCUUUGACGGGUAGCCGGCCUGAGAGGGUGACCGGCCACAUUGGGACUGAGAUACGGCGCAGACUCCUACGGGAGGCAGCAGUGGGGACUAUUGCACAAUGGGCGGAAGCGUGAUGCAGCAACGCCGCGUGCGGGAUGAGGGCCUUCGGGUUGUAAACCGCUUUCGCCUGUGACGAAGCGUGAGUGACGGUAAUGGGUAAAGAAGCACCGGCUAACUACGUG